Molecule: long non-coding RNA, 481 nt
Filed under: Pan paniscus (pygmy chimpanzee)
Lineage: Eukaryota; Metazoa; Chordata; Mammalia; Primates; Hominidae
Description: lncRNA (ENSPPAG00000045077.1)
Source: RNAcentral
CACAAAUUUGUUUUAAUUUCAAGUGCUCUUACAAUGACAAAGUCAAAUGAGUGCCUUCUUGAGGAAAGUGUUUAGCAUAAUAGUAGAUGGUGUUGUCAUUAUCAGAAGGGAGAAUUUUCUGUCUCAUUUGUCAACUUCACACUGUGAACCCCCAAAAGAGUUGUCUUCAACACAAAAUAAUUGCCCUUGUUGCUUCUCUUUACAGAGUUCUCCCCACAUUAUUAAUGGUAUGGGAAUUAGGAGGAGGUCAUCUGACUCACAUGGAUCACCAUAUAAUUCCUUCUGGAGAACAGAAAAAAUGCAGAAGAGGAAAACUUCCAUAUGUGAAGCUAUGGCAAGGGAGUCUCCCCACCCCGCGCUCCAACAGAGUCUGGAGAUAAAGUAAGUUUGAGAAGCUAGAAAGUGUUUUUUCCCAUUAUCUUCCAAACACUGUCAUUUGGCUGCAUGCAGAUUUCACUCUGGCUUUGGCAAAUGUGUCCCU